RNAcentral lists this ribosomal RNA (546 nucleotides) under uncultured fungus. RNAcentral's name for it is "eukaryotic LSU rRNA". The stretch from base 202 to 355 matches the Rfam family "5.8S ribosomal RNA". Lineage: Eukaryota; Fungi. The record is from RNAcentral.
AAGUCGUAACAAGGUCUCCGUAGGUGAACCUGCGGAGGGAUCAUUACAAGAACGCCCGGGCUUCGGCCUGGUUAUUCAUAACCCUUUGUUGUCCGACUCUGUUGCCUCCGGGGCGACCCUGCCUUCGGGCGGGGGCUCCGGGUGGACACUUCAAACUCUUGCGUAACUUUGCAGUCUGAGUAAACUUAAUUAAUAAAUUAAAACUUUUAACAACGGAUCUCUUGGUUCUGGCAUCGAUGAAGAACGCAGCGAAAUGCGAUAAGUAAUGUGAAUUGCAGAAUUCAGUGAAUCAUCGAAUCUUUGAACGCACAUUGCGCCCCCUGGUAUUCCGGGGGGCAUGCCCGUUCGAGCGUCAUUUCACCACUCAAGCCUCGCUUGGUAUUGGGCAACGCGGUCCGCCGCGUGCCUCAAAUCGUCCGGCUGGGUCUUCUGUCCCCUAAGCGUUGUGGAAACUAUUCGCUAAAGGGUGUUCGGGAGGCUACGCCGUAAAACAACCCCAUUUCUAAGGUUGACCUCGGAUCAGGUAGGGAUACCCGCUGAACUUAA